CGAGCGGAUGACGGGAGCUUGCUCCUUGAUUCAGCGGCGGACGGGUGAGUAAUGCCUAGGAAUCUGCCUGGUAGUGGGGGACAACGUUUCGAAAGGAACGCUAAUACCGCAUACGUCCUACGGGAGAAAGCAGGGGACCUUCGGGCCUUGCGCUAUCAGAUGAGCCUAGGUCGGAUUAGCUAGUUGGUGGGGUAAUGGCUCACCAAGGCGACGAUCCGUAACUGGUCUGAGAGGAUGAUCAGUCACACUGGAACUGAGACACGGUCCAGACUCCUACGGGAGGCAGCAGUGGGGAAUAUUGGACAAUGGGCGAAAGCCUGAUCCAGCCAUGCCGCGUGUGUGAAGAAGGUCUUCGGAUUGUAAAGCACUUUAAGUUGGGAGGAAGGGCAGUAAGUUAAUACCUUGCUGUUUUGACGUUACCGACAGAAUAAGCACCGGCUAACUCUGUGCCAGCAGCCGCGGUAAUACAGAGGGUGCAAGCGUUAAUCGGAAUUACUGGGCGUAAAGCGCGCGUAGGUGGUUUGUUAAGUUGGAUGUGAAAGCCCCGGGCUCAACCUGGGAACUGCAUCCAAAACUGGCAAGCUAGAGUACGGUAGAGGGUGGUGGAAUUUCCUGUGUAGCGGUGAAAUGCGUAGAUAUAGGAAGGAACNCCNGUGNCGAAGGCGACCACCUGGACUGAUACUGA
Molecule: ribosomal RNA, 685 nt
Filed under: Pseudomonas monteilii
Lineage: Bacteria; Pseudomonadati; Pseudomonadota; Gammaproteobacteria; Pseudomonadales; Pseudomonadaceae
Description: bacterial SSU rRNA
Rfam family: Bacterial small subunit ribosomal RNA
Source: RNAcentral